This 626-nucleotide ribosomal RNA is filed under the name uncultured bacterium. Its description in RNAcentral is "bacterial SSU rRNA". It matches the Rfam family "Bacterial small subunit ribosomal RNA", at positions 100 to 743 of the family's 1533-position model. The record is from RNAcentral.
AAACGGGUGAGUAACACGUUGAUAACCUGCCUCAAAGACGAGAAUAGUCCCCUGAAAAGGGGUUUAAUACUCGAUAGUCCUACAUCAUUUCGGUGUUUGUAGGUAAAGCUCCGGCGCUUUGAGAGGGGUCUGCGUCCUAUCAGCUAGUUGGUGAGGUAAAAGCUCACCAAGGGUAAGACGGGUAGCUGGUGUGAGAGCAUGACCAGCCACAAUGGAACUGAGAACGGUCCAUACUCCUACGGGAGGCAGCAAUUAGGAAUCUUGCGCAAUGGGGGCAACCCUGACGCAGCGACACCGCGUGGAGGACGAAGGUCUUCGGAUUGUAAACUCCUUUUAUAUGGGAAGAAUAACUGACUGUACCAUAUGAAUAAGUACCUGCUAACUACGUGCCAGAAGCAUCGGUGAUACGUAGGGUGCAAACGUUAUCCGGAUUUAUUGGGCGUAAAGAGAUGCGUAGGCGUCUUGGUAAGUCAUGUGUUAAAGCCUCCCGCUUAACGGGAGAAAGGCAUUUGAUACUGCCAGGAUUGAGGCAGAGAGAGGUGAAUGGAAUUCCCGGUGGAGUGGUGAAAUACGUUGAUAUCGGGAGGAACACCAGAAGCGAAGGCGAUUCACUGGCUCUGUUCUGA